AAUGGAAAGAUCUAAUCCUAUGGCCUUCCUAGAGGCCGUUUGAGCUAAAGUUUUAAAUAACAAACUUGUGAACAAAUACCUGACGAACCUUCUGAUAAAAUUUCAUGAUUUGUGGAUGAGUAACUUAAGAUUUAUAGUAAUUAAAAGAGCAUGAUAUGACUGUUAGUGUUCAGUUUCUUUAAGUUGGUCAUUUGCUAAAAUUGUUGUGUGAACCCAAUGUAUUGCUUAGAAUGAUGUGAGGAAUCAUUAUGUUGCAUCCAUGCAUUGCAUACAUCUUAAUGUACCUAAAAGAAAAUCAUGAUAAAAUAGUUUUCCAACCUUUGGUUUUCUUGCUUUUUGGAUGUCCAGCUUUGAGCCCAGCUCAAGUAAUCUGCUUGCUGUCCAAGAAUUGACUAUGCCAUCUUUAUCACUCUCAACACUUGGUGCAUGUGAUCUCCUCAAGUAUUUCCAACCCCGAUC
Molecule: long non-coding RNA, 459 nt
Filed under: Setaria viridis
Lineage: Eukaryota; Viridiplantae; Streptophyta; Magnoliopsida; Poales; Poaceae
Description: long non-coding RNA (SVIR_LNC007942)
Source: RNAcentral